GGGGAUGUAGUUAAUUAUAACAUUUAAUUUGCACUUAAAAGGAACUUUAUAGUCUUCCUCA
This 61-nucleotide transfer RNA is filed under the name Melamphaus faber. Its description in RNAcentral is "tRNA-Ala". Lineage: Eukaryota; Metazoa; Arthropoda; Insecta; Hemiptera; Pyrrhocoridae. The record is from RNAcentral.